UUAUUUGAGAGUUUGAUCCUGGCUCAGGAUGAACGCUGGCGGCGUGCCUAACACAUGCAAGUUGAGCGAUUUACUUCGGUAAAGAGCGGCGGACGGGUGAGUAACGCGUGGGUAACCUACCCUGUACACACGGAUAACAUACCGAAAGGUAUGCUAAUACGGGAUAAUAUAUUUGAGAGGCAUCUCU
RNAcentral lists this ribosomal RNA (187 nucleotides) under Clostridioides difficile. RNAcentral describes it as "partial 16S ribosomal RNA". It matches the Rfam family "Bacterial small subunit ribosomal RNA", at positions 1 to 196 of the family's 1533-position model. The record is from RNAcentral. Lineage: Bacteria; Bacillati; Bacillota; Clostridia; Peptostreptococcales; Peptostreptococcaceae.